CCGAGUUUACAACUCCCAAACCCCUGUGAACAUACCUAUCGUUGCUUCGGCGGGAUCGCCCCGGCGCCUUCGGGCCCGGACCCAGGCGCCCGCCGGAGGACCCAAACCCUUGUAUUAUUUUGAGUAUCUUCUGAGUAAACAAGCAAAUAAAUCA
This 154-nucleotide unclassified non-coding RNA is filed under the name uncultured Fusarium. RNAcentral's name for it is "sequence contains ITS1". Lineage: Eukaryota; Fungi; Ascomycota; Sordariomycetes; Hypocreales; Nectriaceae. The record is from RNAcentral.